This 468-nucleotide ribosomal RNA is filed under the name uncultured bacterium. RNAcentral describes it as "partial 16S ribosomal RNA". It matches the Rfam family "Bacterial small subunit ribosomal RNA", at positions 28 to 507 of the family's 1533-position model. The record is from RNAcentral.
GACGAACGCUGGCGGCGUGCUUAACACAUGCAAGUCGAACGGAAAGGCCCUGCUCUUGUGGGGUGCUCGAGUGGCGAACGGGUGUGUAAAACGUGAGUAACCUGCACUUGACUUUGGGAUAACUUCAGGAAACUGGGGCUAAUAUAGGAUAGGAGCUACUGCUGCACGGUGGGGGUUGGUAAGUUUCGGCGGUAGGGGAUGGUAUGGAGGCUUAUCCGCUUGUUGGGGAGGUAGUGGCUGACCAAGGUUUUGAAGGGUAGCCGGCCUGAGAGGUUGGCCGGCCACAUUGGGACUGAGAUACGGCGCAGACUCCUACGGGAGGCAGCAGUGGGGAAUAUUGCACAAUGGGCGGGAGCCAGAUGCAGCAACGCCGCGUGCGUGAUGACGUCCUUCUGGUUAUAAACCGCUUUCGCCUGUGACGAAGCGUGAGUGACGGUAAUGGGUAAAGAAGCACCGGCUAACUACGUG